CCAAUAGCGUAUAUUAAAGUUGUUGCAGUUAAAAAGCUCGUAGUUGAAUUUCGGGAUCAAUGCGUCGGUCGUGCCUUCGGUACGUACUAGCGUCAUUGAUUCCUCCCUUCUGAAGAACCGUGAUGUCAUUAAUUUGGUGUUACGGGGAAUCAGGACUGUUACCUUGAAAAAAUUAGAGUGUUUAAAGCAGGCUAACGCUUGAAUACAUUAGCAUGGAAUAAUGAAAUAGGACGUUCGAACCUAUUUUGUUGGUUUCUAGGAUCGACGUAAUGAUUAAUAGGGAUAGUUGGGGGCAUUAGUAUUCAAUUGUCAGAGGUGAAAUUCUUGGAUUUAUUGAAGACUGACUACUGCGAAAGCAUUUGCCAAGGAUGUUUUCAUUAAUCAAGAACGAAAGUUAGGGGAUCGAAGACGAUCAGAUACCGUCGUAGUCUUAACCAUAAACUAUGCCGACUAGGGAUCGGAUGAUGUUAAUUUUAUAAUGACUCAUUCGGCGCCUUACG
RNAcentral lists this ribosomal RNA (500 nucleotides) under uncultured Glomus. RNAcentral describes it as "SSU rRNA". It matches the Rfam family "Eukaryotic small subunit ribosomal RNA", at positions 591 to 1092 of the family's 1831-position model. Lineage: Eukaryota; Fungi; Glomeromycota; Glomeromycetes; Glomerales; Glomeraceae. The record is from RNAcentral. RNAcentral also lists the same sequence under 1 other name.